GAUGAACGCUGGCGGCGUGCCUAAUACAUGCAGGUCGAGCGAACAGACGAGGAGCUUGCUCCUCUGACGUUAGCGGCGGACGGGUGAGUAACACGUGGAUAACCUACCUAUAAGACUGGGAUAACUUCGGGAAACCGGAGCUAAUACCGGAUAAUAUAUUGAACCGCAUGGUUCAAUAGUGAAAGACGGUUUUGCUGUCACUUAUAGAUGGAUCCGCGCCGCAUUAGCUAGUUGGUAAGGUAACGGCUUACCAAGGCGACGAUGCGUAGCCGACCUGAGAGGGUGAUCGGCCACACUGGAACUGAGACACGGUCCAGACUCCUACGGGAGGCAGCAGUAGGGAAUCUUCCGCAAAGGGCGAAAGCCUGACGGAGCAACGCCGCGUGAGUGAUGAAGGUCUUCGGAUCGUAAAACUCUGUUAUUAGGGAAGAACAAAUGUGUAAGUAACUAUGCACGUCUUGACGGUACCUAAUCAGAAAGCCACGGCUAACUACGUG
This 497-nucleotide ribosomal RNA is filed under the name uncultured bacterium. RNAcentral's name for it is "partial 16S ribosomal RNA". It matches the Rfam family "Bacterial small subunit ribosomal RNA", at positions 28 to 507 of the family's 1533-position model. The record is from RNAcentral.